Pollicipes pollicipes is the source of this 377-nucleotide long non-coding RNA. RefSeq lists it as uncharacterized. Lineage: Eukaryota; Metazoa; Arthropoda; Thecostraca; Pollicipedomorpha; Pollicipedidae. The record is from RefSeq and is a predicted model, not a curated record. The transcript has 3 exons.
GGGAACAGUGAAUGCGCUGAUUCGGCCAUAACGCUCUAGAAGCGCUUAUGGUGGAUUUAUUGCUGUGGGACGCACGGAGCCCAGUAAUCUUUGGUGUUUGUAUGGUGCAUCGGCAUUGGUGCAUUACUCAUAAAAAUGUGUGAUGCAACGAAAAGGACACUAUAUGUUGGGAACCUCGAUGCUUCAGUCACAGAGGACCUGAUCAUAGCCCUCUUCAGUCCAAUUGGUCAAGUGAAGAGCUGUAAAAUCAUUACUGAGAGUGCCGCCGACCCCUACUGCUUCGUCGAGUUCGGCGACCCGCACGCGGCGCAGACGGCCAUCACCACCAUGAACAAGCGCAGCCUCUUCGACAAGGUAGGUGGGCGCGCGCAGGCGCC